Molecule: ribosomal RNA, 1666 nt
Filed under: Bacillus mycoides
Lineage: Bacteria; Bacillati; Bacillota; Bacilli; Caryophanales; Bacillaceae
Description: bacterial SSU rRNA
Rfam family: Bacterial small subunit ribosomal RNA
Source: RNAcentral
ACCUUUUGUGAGACUGCUUUAUUGUAGUUUAAGACACGGAGCGGAUGCGCGACCUGUGGGUAACCUACCCAUAAGACUGGGAUAACUCCGGGAAACCGGGGCUAAUACCGGAUAAUAUUUUGAACUGCAUAGUUCGAAAUUGAAAGGCGGCUUCGGCUGUCACUUAUGGAUGGACCCGCGUCGCAUUAGCUAGUUGGUGAGGUAACGGCUCACCAAGGCGACGAUGCGUAGCCGACCUGAGAGGGUGAUCGGCCACACUGGGACUGAGACACGGCCCAGACUCCUACGGGAGGCAGCAGUAGGGGAUCUUCCGCAAUGGACGAAAGUCUGACGGAGCAACGCCGCGUGAGUGAUGAAGGCUUUCGGGUCGUAAAACUCUGUUGUUAGGGAAGAACAAGUGCUAGUUGAAUAAGCUGGCACCUUGACGGUACCUAACCAGAAAGCCACGGCUAACUACGUGCCAGCAGCCGCGGUAAUACGUAGGUGGCAAGCGUUAUCCGGAAUUAUUGGGCGUAAAGCGCGCGCAGGUGGUUUCUUAAGUCUGAUGUGAAAGCCCACGGCUCAACCGUGGAGGGUCAUUGGAAACUGGGAGACUUGAGUGCAGAAGAGGAAAGUGGAAUUCCAUGUGUAGCGGUGAAAUGCGUAGAGAUAUGGAGGAACACCAGUGGCGAAGGCGACUUUCUGGUCUGUAACUGACACUGAGGCGCGAAAGCGUGGGGAGCAAAUCGGAUUAGAUACCCUGGUAGUCCACGCCGUAAACGAUGAGUGCUAAGUGUUAGAGGGUUUCCGCCCUUUAGUGCUGAAGUUAACGCAUUAAGCACUCCGCCUGGAAUUCCAUGUGUAGCGGUGAAAUGCGUAGAGAAUAUGGAGGAACACCAGUGGCGAAAGCGACUUUCUGUUUCUGUAACUGACACUGAGGCGCGAAAGCGUGGGGAGCAAACAGGAUUAGAAUACCCUGGUAGUCCACGCCGUAAACGAUGAGUGGCUAAAGUGUUAGAGGGUUUCCGCCCAUUUAGUGGCCUGGAAGUUAAACGGCAAUUAAGGCACUCCGCCCUGGGGAGUAACCGGCCGGCAAGGCUGAAACUCAAAAGGAAAUUGACCGGGGGCCCCGCACAAGCGGUGGAGCAUGUGGUUUAAUUCGAAGCAAACGCGAAGAAACCUUACCAGGUCUUGACAUCCUCUGACAACCCUAGAGAUAGAGCUUCUCCUUCGGGAGCAGAGUGACAGGUGGUGCAUGGUUGUCGUCAGCUCGUGUCGUGAGAUGUUGGGUUAAGUCCCGCAACGAGCGCAACCCUUGAUCUUAGUUGCCAUCAUUAAGUUGGGCACUCUAAGGUGACUGCCGGUGACAAACCGGAGGAAGGUGGGGAUGACGUCAAAUCAUCAUGCCCCUUAUGACCUGGGCUACACACGUGCUACAAUGGACGGUACAAAGAGCUGCAAGACCGCGAGGUGGAGCUAAUCUCAUAAAACCGUUCUCAGUUCGGAUUGUAGGCUGCAACUCGCCUACAUGAAGCUGGAAUCGCUAGUAAUCGCGGAUCAGCAUGCCGCGGUGAAUACGUUCCCGGGCCUUGUACACACCGCCCGUCACACCACGAGAGUUUGUAACACCCGAAGUCGGAGAGGAUGAUCAGGGUCCAGAUUGUACCGUAGGGAGUCGGACCCCAGA